GCCCUCUCAGAGUCGCACCUGGAGGGUUUCCAGUACUCUAUCAUUCUCGACUAUGGGAGGGAGAGUCCAGCAGAGGCCUGUCCAUUCCAUUCCUAGCUUGGGCCGUGGCUAGCGAGUGGAAGGCGAUCUACUACAAGU
Ornithorhynchus anatinus (platypus) is the source of this 138-nucleotide small nucleolar RNA. The record is from RefSeq and is a predicted model, not a curated record. Lineage: Eukaryota; Metazoa; Chordata; Mammalia; Monotremata; Ornithorhynchidae.